RNAcentral lists this ribosomal RNA (497 nucleotides) under uncultured bacterium. Its description in RNAcentral is "partial 16S ribosomal RNA". It matches the Rfam family "Bacterial small subunit ribosomal RNA", at positions 28 to 507 of the family's 1533-position model. The record is from RNAcentral.
GAUGAACGCUGGCGGCGUGCCUAAUACAUGCAAGUCGAGCGAACGGACGAGAAGCUUGCUUCUCUGAUGUUAGCGGCGGACGGGUGAGUAACACGUGGAUAACCUACCUAUAAGACUGGGAUAACUUCGGGAAACCGUAGCUAAUACCGGAUAAUAUUUUGAACCGCAUGGUUCAAAAGUGAAAGACGGUCCUGCUGUCACUUACAGAUGGAUCCGCGCUGCAUUAGCUAGUUGGUAAGGUAACGGCUUACCAAGGCAACGAUGCAUAGCCGACCUGAGAGGGUGAUCGGCCACACUGGAACUGAGACACGGUCCAGACUCCUACGGGAGGCAGCAGUAGGGAAUCUUCCGCAAUGGGCGAAAGCCUGACGGAGCAACGCCGCGUGAGUGAUGAAGGUCUUCGGAUCGUAAAACUCUGUUAUUAGGGAAGAACAUAUGUGUAAGUAACUGUGCACAUCUUGACGGUACCUAAUCAGAAAGCCACGGCUAACUACGUG